GCAGUGGUGGUUCAGUGAUAACAAUUCUAGACUUCCCUGUAGAAGAUCUGGGUUCAAUUCCCAGCCACUGUA
This 72-nucleotide transfer RNA is filed under the name Loxodonta africana (African savanna elephant). It matches the Rfam family "tRNA". Rfam says of the family: Transfer RNA (tRNA) molecules are approximately 80 nucleotides in length. Their secondary structure includes four short double-helical elements and three loops (D, anti-codon, and T loops). Further hydrogen bonds mediate the characteristic L-shaped molecular structure. tRNAs have two regions of fundamental functional importance: the anti-codon, which is responsible for specific mRNA codon recognition, and the 3' end, to which the tRNAs corresponding amino acid is attached (by aminoacyl-tRNA synthetases). tRNAs cope with the degeneracy of the genetic code in two manners: having more than one tRNA (with a specific anti-codon) for a particular amino acid; and 'wobble' base-pairing, i.e. permitting non-standard base-pairing at the 3rd anti-codon position. The record is from Rfam by way of RNAcentral. Lineage: Eukaryota; Metazoa; Chordata; Mammalia; Proboscidea; Elephantidae.